Long non-coding RNA from Dreissena polymorpha, 407 nucleotides. RefSeq lists it as uncharacterized. The record is from RefSeq and is a predicted model, not a curated record. Lineage: Eukaryota; Metazoa; Mollusca; Bivalvia; Myida; Dreissenidae. The transcript is spliced from 3 exons.
GGAAAGUGUCGUUUUUUUUUUGUUGUUUUUUUAUUCAAUGAUAGCCGUAAUAUUCGUUUAUAUCGUAUAUUUUAUAAGAGAAAAGUACGACUCAAUGUGCUGCAAAUUCAAAAUGAAGUCUGCACACACUGUGACAGCCAUGUCCGGAGACAAGCCAUAGCUAUACAAUGCAGCAGUUUUGUUUGAUGUGGUAUGACAAUGAAAGCAAUUACUGAAAUUUAGCUGUUUUAUAGACAGAGAUUAAUUGGAGCUCAUGUAUAAUUGCGAAAAUGAAGAGAAUGCCACCAACAAGGAUUUACCAUACACAAUGAACAACAGAAAUGGAUGUCAUACAAGUAUGCGUUGCUUUUGUUUGACUGUGAUGGUACUACGGCUGUUGUCCAUAGACGUCAACUGCCAGAGAAUGC